Molecule: ribosomal RNA, 756 nt
Filed under: uncultured Actinomyces sp.
Lineage: Bacteria; Bacillati; Actinomycetota; Actinomycetes; Actinomycetales; Actinomycetaceae
Description: bacterial SSU rRNA
Rfam family: Bacterial small subunit ribosomal RNA
Source: RNAcentral
GACGAACGCUGGCGGCGUGCUUAACACAUGCAAGUCGAACGCUGAAGACCUGGCUUUUGUUGGGUUGGAUGAGUGGCGAACGGGUGAGUAACACGUGAGUAACCUGCCCCCUUCUUUGGGAUAACGCCCGGAAACGGGUGCUAAUACUGGAUAUUCACUGGCCUUCGCAUGGGGGUUGGUGGAAAGGUUUGUUCUGGUGGGGGAUGGGCUCGCGGCCUAUCAGCUUGUUGGUGGGGUGAUGGCCUACCAAGGCUUUGACGGGUAGCCGGCCUGAGAGGGUGACCGGUCACAUUGGGACUGAGAUACGGCCCAGACUCCUACGGGAGGCAGCAGUGGGGAAUAUUGCACAAUGGGCGGAAGCCUGAUGCAGCGACGCCGCGUGAGGGAUGGAGGCCUUCGGGUUGUAAACCUCUUUCGCUCAUGGUCAAGCCGCAACUGUGGGUUGUGGUGAGGGUAGUGGGUAAAGAAGCGCCGGCUAACUACGUGCCAGCAGCCGCGGUAAUACGUAGGGCGCGAGCGUUGUCCGGAAUUAUUGGGCGUAAAGGGCUUGUAGGCGGUUGGUCGCGUCUGCCGUGAAAUCCUCUGGCUUAACUGGGGGCGUGCGGUGGGUACGGGCUGACUUGAGUGCGGUAGGGGAGACUGGAACUCCUGGUGUAGCGGUGGAAUGCGCAGAUAUCAGGAAGAACACCGGUGGCGAAGGCGGGUCUCUGGGCCGUUACUGACGCUGAGGAGCGAAAGCGUGGGGGAGCGAACAGG